RNAcentral lists this ribosomal RNA (690 nucleotides) under uncultured bacterium. RNAcentral describes it as "bacterial SSU rRNA". It matches the Rfam family "Bacterial small subunit ribosomal RNA", at positions 140 to 828 of the family's 1533-position model. The record is from RNAcentral.
GGGACAACCCGCCGAAAGGCGGGCUAAACCCGCGUACAUGCCACCGGGGCAUCCCGGAGGCAGGAAAGGCUUCGGCCGGACAGGGAUGGGCAUGCGGCGCAUUAGGCAGUAGGCGGGGUAACGGCCCACCUAACCGACGAUGCGUAGGGGUUCUGAGAGGAAGGUCCCCCACACUGGUACUGAGACACGGACCAGACUCCUACGGGAGGCAGCAGUGAGGAAUAUUGGUCAAUGGUCGGGAGACUGAACCAGCCAAGCCGCGUGAGGGAUGAAGGUACAGAGUAUCGUAAACCUCUUUUGUCAGGGAACAAAGGCGGGGACGUGUCCCCGGAUGAGUGUACCUGAAGAAAAAGCAUCGGCUAACUCCGUGCCAGCAGCCGCGGUAAUACGGAGGAUGCGAGCGUUAUCCGGAUUUAUUGGGUUUAAAGGGUGCGCAGGCGGUCUGUUAAGUCAGCGGUCAAAGCCCGGGGCUCAACCCCGGCCCGCCGUUGAAACUGGCAGUCUCGAGUUGGAGAGAAGUAUGCGGAAUGCGCGGUGUAGCGGUGAAAUGCAUAGAUAUCGCGCAGAACUCCGAUUGCGAAGGCAGCAUGCCGGCUCCACACUGACGCUGAGGCACGAAAGCGUGGGUAUCGAACAGGAUUAGAUACCCUGGUAGUCCACGCAGUAAACGAUGAAUGCUGGCUGUCCGGG